ACGGAAGGCAGCAGUGAGGAAUAUUGGUCAAUGGGCGGAAGCCUGAACCAGCCAAGUCGCGUGAAGGAUGAAGGUAUUAUGUAUUGUAAACUUCUUUAGCCAGGGGGCAAUAAGGCGUACGCGUACGCCGAUGAGAGUACCUGGAGAAUAAGGAUCGGCUAACUCCGUGCCAGCAGCCGCGGUAAUACGGAGGAUCCGAGCGUUAUCCGGAUUUAUUGGGUUUAAAGGGUGCGCAGGCGGCCCGUUAAGUCAGCGGUGAAAUGUCGGGGCUCAACCCGGGCACUGCCGUUGAAACUGGGGGGCUUGAGUACGGAUGAGGUCGGCGGAAUGUGACGUGUAGCGGUGAAAUGCAUAGAUAUGUCACAGAACACCGAUUGCGAAGGCAGCCGGCCAAUCCGCAACUGACGCUCAUGCACGAAAGCGUGGGGAUCGAACAGGAUUAGAUACCCUGGUA
Molecule: ribosomal RNA, 454 nt
Filed under: uncultured Parabacteroides sp.
Lineage: Bacteria; Pseudomonadati; Bacteroidota; Bacteroidia; Bacteroidales; Tannerellaceae
Description: partial 16S ribosomal RNA
Rfam family: Bacterial small subunit ribosomal RNA
Source: RNAcentral